AACGAGAAGCGAACCUGCGAAGGCAAGCGGAUCUCUUAAAGCCGUUCUCAGUUCGGACUGUAGGCUGCAACUCGCCUACACGAAGCUGGAAUCGCUAGUAAUCGCGGAUCAGCACGCCGCGGUGAAUACGUUCCCGGGCCUUGUACACACCGCCCGUCACACCAUGAGAGUCUGUAACACCCAAAGCCGGUGGGAUAACCUUUAUAGGAGUCAGCCGUCUAAGGUAGGACAGAUGAUUAGGGUGAAGUCGUAACAAGGUAAC
This 262-nucleotide ribosomal RNA is filed under the name uncultured bacterium. RNAcentral's name for it is "partial 16S ribosomal RNA". It matches the Rfam family "Bacterial small subunit ribosomal RNA", at positions 1241 to 1500 of the family's 1533-position model. The record is from RNAcentral.